RNAcentral lists this ribosomal RNA (253 nucleotides) under uncultured bacterium. RNAcentral's name for it is "partial 16S ribosomal RNA". It matches the Rfam family "Bacterial small subunit ribosomal RNA", at positions 524 to 776 of the family's 1533-position model. The record is from RNAcentral.
UACGAAGGGGGCUAGCGUUGCUCGGAAUCACUGGGCGUAAAGCGCACGUAGGCGGAUCUUUAAGUCAGGGGUGAAAUCCUGGAGCUCAACUCCAGAACUGCCUUUGAUACUGGGGAUCUCGAGUCCGGAAGAGGUGAGUGGAACUCCGAGUGUAGAGGUGAAAUUCGUAGAUAUUCGGAAGAACGCCAGUGGCGAAGGCGGCUCACUGGUCCGGUACUGACGCUGAGGUGCGAAAGCGUGGGGAGCAAACAGG